RNAcentral lists this ribosomal RNA (2904 nucleotides) under Escherichia coli. RNAcentral describes it as "bacterial LSU rRNA". It matches the Rfam family "Bacterial large subunit ribosomal RNA". RNAcentral also lists the same sequence under 1 other name. The record is from RNAcentral. Lineage: Bacteria; Pseudomonadati; Pseudomonadota; Gammaproteobacteria; Enterobacterales; Enterobacteriaceae.
UUAAGCGACUAAGCGUACACGGUGGAUGCCCUGGCAGUCAGAGGCGAUGAAGGACGUGCUAAUCUGCGAUAAGCGUCGGUAAGGUGAUAUGAACCGUUAUAACCGGCGAUUUCCGAAUGGGGAAACCCAGUGUGUUUCGACACACUAUCAUUAACUGAAUCCAUAGGUUAAUGAGGCGAACCGGGGGAACUGAAACAUCUAAGUACCCCGAGGAAAAGAAAUCAACCGAGAUUCCCCCAGUAGCGGCGAGCGAACGGGGAGCAGCCCAGAGCCUGAAUCAGUGUGUGUGUUAGUGGAAGCGUCUGGAAAGGCGCGCGAUACAGGGUGACAGCCCCGUACACAAAAAUGCACAUGCUGUGAGCUCGAUGAGUAGGGCGGGACACGUGGUAUCCUGUCUGAAUAUGGGGGGACCAUCCUCCAAGGCUAAAUACUCCUGACUGACCGAUAGUGAACCAGUACCGUGAGGGAAAGGCGAAAAGAACCCCGGCGAGGGGAGUGAAAAAGAACCUGAAACCGUGUACGUACAAGCAGUGGGAGCACGCUUAGGCGUGUGACUGCGUACCUUUUGUAUAAUGGGUCAGCGACUUAUAUUCUGUAGCAAGGUUAACCGAAUAGGGGAGCCGAAGGGAAACCGAGUCUUAACUGGGCGUUAAGUUGCAGGGUAUAGACCCGAAACCCGGUGAUCUAGCCAUGGGCAGGUUGAAGGUUGGGUAACACUAACUGGAGGACCGAACCGACUAAUGUUGAAAAAUUAGCGGAUGACUUGUGGCUGGGGGUGAAAGGCCAAUCAAACCGGGAGAUAGCUGGUUCUCCCCGAAAGCUAUUUAGGUAGCGCCUCGUGAAUUCAUCUCCGGGGGUAGAGCACUGUUUCGGCAAGGGGGUCAUCCCGACUUACCAACCCGAUGCAAACUGCGAAUACCGGAGAAUGUUAUCACGGGAGACACACGGCGGGUGCUAACGUCCGUCGUGAAGAGGGAAACAACCCAGACCGCCAGCUAAGGUCCCAAAGUCAUGGUUAAGUGGGAAACGAUGUGGGAAGGCCCAGACAGCCAGGAUGUUGGCUUAGAAGCAGCCAUCAUUUAAAGAAAGCGUAAUAGCUCACUGGUCGAGUCGGCCUGCGCGGAAGAUGUAACGGGGCUAAACCAUGCACCGAAGCUGCGGCAGCGACGCUUAUGCGUUGUUGGGUAGGGGAGCGUUCUGUAAGCCUGUGAAGGUGUGCUGUGAGGCAUGCUGGAGGUAUCAGAAGUGCGAAUGCUGACAUAAGUAACGAUAAAGCGGGUGAAAAGCCCGCUCGCCGGAAGACCAAGGGUUCCUGUCCAACGUUAAUCGGGGCAGGGUGAGUCGACCCCUAAGGCGAGGCCGAAAGGCGUAGUCGAUGGGAAACAGGUUAAUAUUCCUGUACUUGGUGUUACUGCGAAGGGGGGACGGAGAAGGCUAUGUUGGCCGGGCGACGGUUGUCCCGGUUUAAGCGUGUAGGCUGGUUUUCCAGGCAAAUCCGGAAAAUCAAGGCUGAGGCGUGAUGACGAGGCACUACGGUGCUGAAGCAACAAAUGCCCUGCUUCCAGGAAAAGCCUCUAAGCAUCAGGUAACAUCAAAUCGUACCCCAAACCGACACAGGUGGUCAGGUAGAGAAUACCAAGGCGCUUGAGAGAACUCGGGUGAAGGAACUAGGCAAAAUGGUGCCGUAACUUCGGGAGAAGGCACGCUGAUAUGUAGGUGAAGUCCCUCGCGGAUGGAGCUGAAAUCAGUCGAAGAUACCAGCUGGCUGCAACUGUUUAUUAAAAACACAGCACUGUGCAAACACGAAAGUGGACGUAUACGGUGUGACGCCUGCCCGGUGCCGGAAGGUUAAUUGAUGGGGUUAGCCGCAAGGCGAAGCUCUUGAUCGAAGCCCCGGUAAACGGCGGCCGUAACUAUAACGGUCCUAAGGUAGCGAAAUUCCUUGUCGGGUAAGUUCCGACCUGCACGAAUGGCGUAAUGAUGGCCAGGCUGUCUCCACCCGAGACUCAGUGAAAUUGAACUCGCUGUGAAGAUGCAGUGUACCCGCGGCAAGACGGAAAGACCCCGUGAACCUUUACUAUAGCUUGACACUGAACAUUGAGCCUUGAUGUGUAGGAUAGGUGGGAGGCUUUGAAGUGUGGACGCCAGUCUGCAUGGAGCCGACCUUGAAAUACCACCCUUUAAUGUUUGAUGUUCUAACGUUGACCCGUAAUCCGGGUUGCGGACAGUGUCUGGUGGGUAGUUUGACUGGGGCGGUCUCCUCCUAAAGAGUAACGGAGGAGCACGAAGGUUGGCUAAUCCUGGUCGGACAUCAGGAGGUUAGUGCAAUGGCAUAAGCCAGCUUGACUGCGAGCGUGACGGCGCGAGCAGGUGCGAAAGCAGGUCAUAGUGAUCCGGUGGUUCUGAAUGGAAGGGCCAUCGCUCAACGGAUAAAAGGUACUCCGGGGAUAACAGGCUGAUACCGCCCAAGAGUUCAUAUCGACGGCGGUGUUUGGCACCUCGAUGUCGGCUCAUCACAUCCUGGGGCUGAAGUAGGUCCCAAGGGUAUGGCUGUUCGCCAUUUAAAGUGGUACGCGAGCUGGGUUUAGAACGUCGUGAGACAGUUCGGUCCCUAUCUGCCGUGGGCGCUGGAGAACUGAGGGGGGCUGCUCCUAGUACGAGAGGACCGGAGUGGACGCAUCACUGGUGUUCGGGUUGUCAUGCCAAUGGCACUGCCCGGUAGCUAAAUGCGGAAGAGAUAAGUGCUGAAAGCAUCUAAGCACGAAACUUGCCCCGAGAUGAGUUCUCCCUGACUCCUUGAGAGUCCUGAAGGAACGUUGAAGACGACGACGUUGAUAGGCCGGGUGUGUAAGCGCAGCGAUGCGUUGAGCUAACCGGUACUAAUGAACCGUGAGGCUUAACCUU